RNAcentral lists this ribosomal RNA (468 nucleotides) under uncultured bacterium. Its description in RNAcentral is "partial 16S ribosomal RNA". It matches the Rfam family "Bacterial small subunit ribosomal RNA", at positions 28 to 507 of the family's 1533-position model. The record is from RNAcentral.
GACGAACGCUGGCGGCGUGCUUAACACAUGCAAGUCGAACGGAAAGGCCCUGCUUUUGUGGGGUGCUCGAGUGGCGAACGGGUGAGUAACACGUGAGUAACCUGCCCUUGACUUUGGGAGAACUUCAGGAAACUGGGGCUAAUACCGGAUAGGAGCUCCUGCUGCAUGGUGGGGGUUGGAAAGUUUCGGCGGUUGGGGAUGGACUCGCGGCUUAUCAGCUUGUUGGUGGGGUAGUGGCUUACCAAGGCUUUGACGGGUAGCCGGCCUGAGAGGGUGACCGGCCACAUUGGGACUGAGAUACGGCCCAGACUCCUACGGGAGGCAGCAGUGGGGAAUAUUGCACAAUGGGCGGAAGCCUGAUGCAGCAACGCCGCGUGCGGGAUGACGGCCUUCGGGUUGUAAACCGCUUUCGCCUGUGACGAAGCGUGAGUGACGGUACUGGGUAAAGAAGCACCGGCUAACUACGUG